This 255-nucleotide ribosomal RNA is filed under the name uncultured Gardnerella sp. RNAcentral's name for it is "partial 16S ribosomal RNA". It matches the Rfam family "Bacterial small subunit ribosomal RNA", at positions 100 to 354 of the family's 1533-position model. The record is from RNAcentral. Lineage: Bacteria; Bacillati; Actinomycetota; Actinomycetes; Bifidobacteriales; Bifidobacteriaceae.
CGACGGUGAGUAANUGCGUGACCAACCUGCCCCAUGCUCCAGAAUAGCUCUUGGAAACGGGUGGUAAUGCUGGAUGCUCCAACUUGACGCAUGUCUUGUUGGGAAAGUGUUUAGUGGCAUGGGAUGGGGUCGCGUCCUAUCAGCUUGUAGGCGGGGUAAUGGCCCACCUAGGCUUCGACGGGUAGCCGGCCUGAGAGGGCGGACGGCCACAUUGGGACUGAGAUACGGCCCAGACUCCUACGGGAGGCAGCAGGU